UACGUAGGGUGCGAGCGUUAAUCGGAAUUACUGGGCGUAAAGCGUGCGCAGGCGGGUUUUUAAGCCAGACGUGAAAUCCCCGGGCUUAACCUGGGAAUGGCGUUUGGGACUGGAAGUCUGGAGUGCGGCAGAGGAGACUGGAAUUCCUGGUGUAGCAGUGAAAUGCGUAGAUAUCAGGAGGAACACCGAUGGCGAAGGCAGGUCUCUGGGCUGAAACUGACGCUGAGGAGCGAAAGCAUGGGUAGCGAACAGG
This 253-nucleotide ribosomal RNA is filed under the name uncultured bacterium. RNAcentral's name for it is "partial 16S ribosomal RNA". It matches the Rfam family "Bacterial small subunit ribosomal RNA", at positions 524 to 776 of the family's 1533-position model. The record is from RNAcentral.